CUAGAUGACGCUGGCGGCGUGCUUAACACAUGCAAGUCGAACGAUGAUCUCCAGCUUGCUGGGGGGAUUAGUGGCGAACGGGUGAGUAACACGUGAGUAACCUGCCCUUGACUCUGGGAUAAGCCUGGGAAACUGGGUCUAAUACCGGAUACGACCGUCCCGCGCAUGCGGUGGUGGUGGAAAGCUUUUGCGGUUUUGGAUGGACUCGCGGCCUAUCAGCUUGUUGGUGGGGUAAUGGCCUACCAAGGCGACGACGGGUAGCCGGCCUGAGAGGGUGACCGGCCACACUGGGACUGAGACACGGCCCAGACUCCUACGGGAGGCAGCAGUGGGGAAUAUUGCACAAUGGGCGAAAGCCUGAUGCAGCGACGCCGCGUGAGGGAUGACGGCCUUCGGGUUGUAAACCUCUUUCAGUAGGGAAGAAGCGAAAGUGACGGUACCUGCAGAAGAAGCGCCGGCUAACUACGUGCCAGCAGCCGCGGUAAUACGUAGGGCGCAAGCGUUAUCCGGAAUUAUUGGGCGUAAAGAGCUCGUAGGCGGUUUGUCGCGUCUGCUGUGAAAGACCGGGGCUCAACUCCGGUUCUGCAGUGGGUACGGGCAGACUAGAGUGAUGUAGGGGAGACUGGAAUUCCUGGUGUAGCGGUGAAAUGCGCAGAUAUCAGGAGGAACACCGAUGGCGAAGGCAGGUCUCUGGGCAUUAACUGACGCUGAGGAGCGAAAGCAUGGGGAGCGAACAGGAUUAGAUACCCUGGUAGUCCAUGCCGUAAACGUUGGGCACUAGGUGUGGGGGACAUUCCACGUUUUCCGCGCCGUAGCUAACGCAUUAAGUGCCCCGCCUGGAGA
RNAcentral lists this ribosomal RNA (843 nucleotides) under Arthrobacter sp. Its description in RNAcentral is "bacterial SSU rRNA". It matches the Rfam family "Bacterial small subunit ribosomal RNA", at positions 25 to 879 of the family's 1533-position model. The record is from RNAcentral. Lineage: Bacteria; Bacillati; Actinomycetota; Actinomycetes; Micrococcales; Micrococcaceae.